Molecule: ribosomal RNA, 483 nt
Filed under: uncultured bacterium
Lineage: Bacteria
Description: partial 16S ribosomal RNA
Rfam family: Bacterial small subunit ribosomal RNA
Source: RNAcentral
UUGAACGCUGGCGGCAGGCCUAACACAUGCAAGUCGAGCGGAUGAAGGGAGCUUGCUCCUGGAUUCAGCGGCGGACGGGUGAGUAAUGCCUAGGAAUCUGCCUGGUAGUGGGGGAUAACGUCCGGAAACGGGCGCUAAUACCGCAUACGUCCUGAGGGAGAAAGUGGGGGAUCUUCGGACCUCACGCUAUCAGAUGAGCCUAGGUCGGAUUAGCUAGUUGGUGGGGUAAAGGCCUACCAAGGCGACGAUCCGUAACUGGCCUGAGAGGAUGAUCAGUCACACUGGAACUGAGACACGGUCCAGACUCCUACGGGAGGCAGCAGUGGGGAAUAUUGGACAAUGGGCGAAAGCCUGAUCCAGCCAUGCCGCGUGUGUGAAGAAGGUCUUCGGAUUGUAAAGCACUUUAAGUUGGGAGGAAGGGCAGUAAGUUAAUACCUUGCUGUUUUGACGUUACCAACAGAAUAAGCACCGGCUAACUUCGUG